This 707-nucleotide ribosomal RNA is filed under the name uncultured bacterium. RNAcentral describes it as "bacterial SSU rRNA". It matches the Rfam family "Bacterial small subunit ribosomal RNA", at positions 77 to 808 of the family's 1533-position model. The record is from RNAcentral.
AGCUUGCUAAUAAUUCUCUAGUGGCGCACGGGUGAGUAACACGUGAGUAACCUGCCCCCAAGAGUGGGAUAGCCCCGGGAAACUGGGAUUAAUACCGCAUAAAAUCGCAAGAUUAAAGCAGCAAUGCGCUUGGGGAUGGGCUCGCGUCCUAUUAGUUAGUUGGUGAGGUAACGGCUCACCAAGGCGAUGACGGGUAGCCGGUCUGAGAGGAUGUCCGGCCACACUGGAACUGAGACACGGUCCAGACACCUACGGGUGGCAGCAGUCGAGAAUCAUUCACAAUGGGGGAAACCCUGAUGGUGCGACGCCGCGUGGGGGAAUGAAGGUCUUCGGAUUGUAAACCCCUGUCAUGUGGGAGCAAAUUAAAAAGAUAGUACCACAAGAGGAAGAGACGGCUAACUCUGUGCCAGCAGCCGCGGUAAUACAGAGGUCUCAAGCGUUGUUCGGAAUCACUGGGCGUAAAGCGUGCGUAGGCGGUUUCGUAAGUCGUGUGUGAAAGGCGGGGGCUCAACCCCCGGACUGCACAUGAUACUGCGAGACUAGAGUAAUGGAGGGGGAACCGGAAUUCUCGGUGUAGCAGUGAAAUGCGUAGAUAUCGAGAGGAACACUCGUGGCGAAGGCGGGUUCCUGGACAUUAACUGACGCUGAGGCACGAAGGCCAGGGGAGCGAAAGGGAUUAGAUACCCCUGUAGUCCUGGCAGUAAACG